This 461-nucleotide long non-coding RNA is filed under the name Salvia miltiorrhiza (redroot sage). RNAcentral describes it as "long non-coding RNA (SMIL_LNC003015)". Lineage: Eukaryota; Viridiplantae; Streptophyta; Magnoliopsida; Lamiales; Lamiaceae. The record is from RNAcentral.
GAUUAACAUAUAUGCUCCAGCUUGAGGGGGAGUGUUAUGAAUAGUAAUAAGUAUCCCACAUUGGUUUAGUGUUCCUAGUUGUGAUAGUUCUCUUACAUAUAAAUAUGUACUCUUUUCUCCAAUAUAAAUACACCUUCCUACUUCUUCUUCUUCAAUAUGUUUUAUAUCUUUAUUCUCUACAGACAUCAAGAUAUUUGUAUGCACGAUCAAGUUUUUUUCUCCAUCAUAAUGAAUAUUUCUGGGUAAGUAAAACUCCAAAAAGACGCCUAGCUUGACAGAAACAUACUCAAAGCUUCAGGUUAAAACAUGGAUAUAAUUUCAGGUCCUAUUACUAUUAGCAAUUAAAAUAUCAAGAGAUCCAGGUAACUGCUCGUGGAUAUGGACUAUUAGGUAAGAGCCCUCCCUUUUUAGCUAGUCAUAAAUGAAGAAAGAGAAAAAAUAAAAAUCAAAUAGCAUACCUU